UACGUAGGGUGCAAGCGUUAAUCGGAAUUACUGGGCGUAAAGCGUGCGCAGGCGGUUGUGCAAGACAGGUGUGAAAUCCCCGGGCUUAACCUGGGAACUGCACUUGUGACUGCAUAGCUGGAGUACGGCAGAGGGGGAUGGAAUUCCGCGUGUAGCAGUGAAAUGCGUAGAUAUGCGGAGGAACACCGAUGGCGAAGGCAGUCCCCUGGGCCUGUACUGACGCUCAUGCACGAAAGCGUGGGGAGCAAACAGG
Molecule: ribosomal RNA, 253 nt
Filed under: uncultured bacterium
Lineage: Bacteria
Description: partial 16S ribosomal RNA
Rfam family: Bacterial small subunit ribosomal RNA
Source: RNAcentral